Molecule: ribosomal RNA, 164 nt
Filed under: uncultured bacterium
Lineage: Bacteria
Description: partial 16S rRNA
Rfam family: Bacterial small subunit ribosomal RNA
Source: RNAcentral
UAGGGAAUCUUCCACAAUGGACGCAAGUCUGAAGGAGCAACGCCGCGUGAGUGAAGAAGGUCUUCGGAUCGUAAAACUCUGUUGUUAGAGAAGAACACGAGUGAGAGUAACUGUUCAUUCGAUGACGGUAUCUAACCAGCAAGUCACGGCUAACUACGCGCCAG